This is a long non-coding RNA of Gallus gallus (chicken), 1580 nucleotides long. The record is from Ensembl. NCBI's taxonomy places the organism in Eukaryota, Metazoa, Chordata, Aves, Galliformes, Phasianidae.
CGCUCACCCGCAGGUGCUCUGCCCGGCUCCGACGCCCGCAGGGGCUCGGGCACCCGCGGCCGCCGCGACUGCCCCUUACCGCGCUGACUAAGGCGGGCGGUGGCUGCGGGUCCGCACCGCCCCGCACAGGCGGGGCAGGAGGCGGCUCGCUCCCGCCCAGGGCCGCCGGGGGGUCUGGGAGCCCCACCACCCCCCCGGCGAGUACGGGAGUGCGGGUAGCGGUAAGGGAGCGGCAGCAGGGGCUGCGCGUUUCCUUACGUCUCGGGUUGCCGGUUAACGGGGGUGAUACCUUUUCGAGUCCUGAAGAAGUCUACCGCAAGCAGCGAGCAGAUAGUAUAGUACUCUUGGCCACUUUGGGCUAGAGAAUCACUUUGGUUUUUCCAGCCUCUACUGCCUUCAUUUCUGACCUGUGAUUUCACCAGAUGGCGAACAACAUAACUGUAUUUGUGGGGAAUACAAAGAUUAUUUCUCUUGCUGUUUUACAUCCCAGACUUGGUACGAGCAAGCACAGAUGUGUCUUUUGUGCAGGAGAGGGAAGGAAGAGAGAGCCAAAUGAAAAAUCCUGAAUGACAACAUCUCCAAGUAUCACAGCAGUACCUUCUAAAGCUGGAAGAUAAAGCUGAUGAGGUGGUUACCAUGGCUACAGAAGCGGCAUAUUUGAAUGAAAAUUGAUUUUAAGCUUUUAAAUGCUAAUUGCAUCUGUGAACAGGUGACAUUUGAAAUAUCUUUUUCUCCCUCCUCCCUCCCCCCAUAUGUUGCAGAGUAUAAUGAGUGAAAGAAGAGGGUGACAAAGGUGACAACACACUGUUAAAUUAGAACACUGAUACAGUCUUCAACACUAAAGUAUGUCACACCAUUUGCUUGUGUAGUAGUACAAGUAAUAAGUGAACACAUAUAUAGAUCACAGUGUCUGAGGAGCAGAAACUGUCUAGAACCCAAUUAAUAUAUUUUUCAUGGUAUUGUGAAAAAUUAAACAGCUUUAUUUAAAUUAAUCACCAGAACAAUUGUUUCUGGUAGCUCAUAAUAAAGAGGCUAUUAAAACUUACCAUUCAGAAACUGCUAUAAAUUCUCAGUGAUGAGGAAGCUUUGCAAAUGCCUGGAAUUAGAAGCAUUUCUUAUUUCACUCUGUACACUGGGAAAUAAAGUUGAACUUCUACACAGUAGUAGACUCAGACUAGGGAACCAAGAUGCUGUGUAGACUGGUGUUACUGUGCAACUGCUGCUAAUUGCUGUCACACCACUGUCUGACCACACUCAGGCUGUAGUUGCAGAAGACAUAGAAGGUGUAAUUUACCUCACUGUAAGCAUAGUUUUAAUAUGAUCUGAAAGCUCUUUAACUUGCAGUGGGUUACAUUCCACUUGUUAGCGCUUGCUUUUCGAAACACUCUUGAUAUGAUUACUGUUUAAGACAUGAUCAGUUGUAAUGCAGAUUUAUAUUUUGUUAAAUUAAUUGUAAAAUUGUAAAUAAAAAUUGUAAAUCUGUGAGGGGUUUCAGAUUAUUUUAGUUUUUUGUUUGUUUGUUUGUUUUUCAUUUUUGUUUUUUAAUAUGCAGUGUGAGAAAUCUGGUGGUUUUGGCUGUG